This 521-nucleotide ribosomal RNA is filed under the name uncultured bacterium. RNAcentral describes it as "bacterial SSU rRNA". It matches the Rfam family "Bacterial small subunit ribosomal RNA", at positions 28 to 528 of the family's 1533-position model. The record is from RNAcentral.
GAUGAACGUUAGCGACAGGCCUAACACAUGCAAGUCGAGGGGCAGCACAUGAGUAGCAAUACGAUGGUGGCGACCGGCGCACGGGUGAGUAACACGUAUGCAACCCUGCCUGUAAGAGGGGAAUAACCCGGAGAAAUUCGGACUAAUACCGCAUAAUACCACGAGACUGCAUGGUUUUGUCCCCCCGGUUAAAAUUUAUGGCUUACAAAUGGGCAUGCGUAUGAUUAGCUAGUUGGUAGGGUAAUAGCCUACCAAGGCGACGAUCAUUAGGGGUUCUGAGAGGAAGGUCCCCCACAUUGGAACUGAGAUACGGUCCAAACUCCUACAGGAGGCAGCAGUGAGGAAUAUUGGUCAAUGGACAGAAGUCUGAACCAGCCAAGUCGCGUGAAGGAAGAAGGUCUUACGGAUUGUAAACUUCUUUUAGCAGGGGAAUAAAAGACGGUACGAGUUAUCGUGUUGAAAGUACUUUUGCGAAAAAGGAAUCGGCUAACUCCGUGCCAGCAGCCGCGGUAAAGCUACGU